AAGUCGUAACAAGGUUUCCGUAGGUGAACCUGCGGAGGGAUCAUUAACACUUUGAUACUAAAUCAAAACCAACCUGUGAACUUGUAUCACGACCCUGGUUUUAAGUCUAGAUUAUGACAUCGUACUGGAUAGGUAAAUUUUGUUCAUUCAAAAUUUGUAUGAUGUGAUUCAUAUGUAAAAAGUAUGCAACGACAUUUUAUGACGUUGAUUUAUUCUUAACAGGGCCUAAUUUGAAAGAAAGAAUUUAUUCUGACUUUUAUGAUCUAGCCUAUAGAUCGCUUUAUUCACCUUUUUUUUAAUCAUUAACUACUAAUGACUAUAUAACACAUUAGGUUUGCCCUGUGUGGACUGAUUAUGCUAAGCAAUUUAUUGUUUGCAUUGUUGUAAUUCAACCAUGAUACAACUCUUAACAAUGGAUAUCUUGGUUCUC
This 430-nucleotide unclassified non-coding RNA is filed under the name fungal sp. RNAcentral describes it as "partial internal transcribed spacer region". The stretch from base 1 to 46 matches the Rfam family "Eukaryotic small subunit ribosomal RNA", at positions 1786 to 1831 of the family's 1831-position model. Lineage: Eukaryota; Fungi. The record is from RNAcentral.